GCCAAAAAUCUAGCCCCAAACUGCCCCAGGCCCCAACACCUUAUAUUUACCGAUCAAAACAUUUAUUAAAUUUAGUAUAGGCGAUUAAAAAAUUAAUUGGCGCGAUAUACUCAGUACCGCAAGGGAACGAUGAAAUAAAAUGAAAAACUUCAAGCACGUGAAAGCAGAGACUUUACCUCGUACCUUUUGCAUCAUGGUUUAACUAGUCUAACCAAGCAAAAAGACUUAAAGUUUGACCUCCCGAAACUAAGCGAGCUACUUCAAGGCAGCCUAACGGGCAACCCCGUCUCUGUUGCAAAAGAGUGGAAAGACCUUCAAGUAGAAGUGACAGACCUACCGAGCUUAGUGAUAGCUGGUUACUCAAGAAACGGACUUUAGUCCAACCUAAAGUUAACCUAACACAACAAAGUUAUGCCGUAACUUUAGAGCAAUUCAAAUAAGGUACAGCCUAUUUGAAACAGGAUACAACCUCAACUAACGGGUUCUACACCUAGUGUAACGCAACUAAGUGGGCCUGAAAGCAGCCACCUUUCAAAAAGCGUCGAAGCUUAAUCAUCCUCUACCACAAUCCCCAGAUCCUUUCCCAACCCUUUUACAGUAAUGAGUAAUUCUAUGCAUCAUAGAACUUUUUAUGUUAAAACUAGUAACAAGAAGAUGACCCUUCUCCUAAAUGCAAGCAUAAACCAGAAAGGACACACCACUGGUAAUUAACACCCAUGAGCUGCUAAUAGCAACGCUAUGAAAAACCCCUAUUUAUAAAUAUGUUAACCUAACACAAGAGCAUUAAAAGAAAGAUUAAAAGGAAAAGAAGGAACUCGGCAAACAUUAACCUCGCCUGUUUACCAAAAACAUCGCCUCUCGAACCAAUAUGAGAGGUCUAGCCUGCCCAGUGACUCUGUUCAACGGCCGCGGUAUCCUAACCGUGCAAAGGUAGCGUAAUCACUUGUCCUUUAAAUGAGGACUAGUAUGAAUGGCACCACGAAGGUUACACUGUCUCCUUUCCCUAAUCAGUGAAACUGAUCUCCCCGUGAAGAAGCGAGGAUACACAUAUAAGACGAGAAGACCCUAUGGAGCUUUAAACGAGAUAACAGCCGCCACCUCAUUCUAACCUCAGAGUCCUUACCUACACCCUGGCGGCAUGAUUAUUAGUUUUAGGUUGGGGUGACCACGGAGAAUAAACCAACCUCCGUGCUGAGAGGGGGCCCUCCCCUAAGCAAAAACCCGCAACUUUAUGCAUCAAUAAAUUGACAUUAAUUGACCCAAUAUUUUGACCAACGAACCAAGUUACCCUAGGGAUAACAGCGCAAUCCAUUUUGAGAGCCCCUAUCGACAAAUGGGUUUACGACCUCGAUGUUGGAUCAGGGUAUCCUAGUGGUGCAGCCGCUACUAAAGGUUCGUUUGUUCAACGACUAAGACCCUACGUGA
Molecule: ribosomal RNA, 1425 nt
Filed under: Fritziana fissilis (split-backed frog)
Lineage: Eukaryota; Metazoa; Chordata; Amphibia; Anura; Hemiphractidae
Description: partial 16S ribosomal RNA
Rfam family: Bacterial large subunit ribosomal RNA
Source: RNAcentral